AUAGCUGGAAUAUUGCUGAGUGCGGCGUUAAACAACAACCAAACCAAACUAAAUAUCUCCACAGGACCUACAUGCAGAAAGUAAUAAUAGUGCUAUCACUCCUAUGCUGUAAGACUACUUUGCGAUAGCUGCAGUCCUACUCUGCACCCAGACGACCUAUGCAGUGCAUGAUAAAUUUUAGAAAAUGUAUAUUAAAGCAUCUGGGUAGUUGUAUUCUGGAUUUGCAAUGGCAAUGUGUUGAUUUAUUAGUCUGUCAUGUCAGAAAGAAUACAAUCCAUGUUCAGUCUCAGCAUACAUGUUUCAAGUGACCAUAUGCCUGGCCAUGUUGCUGUGAUGCUGAAGUGAUCACUCUGUAAUUGUCUGCAUAAUUGUAAUGAUGCUUACUCUGAUAGUAAGGAAAGGUAGUCAAUAAAACAACUACACCAUCA
Molecule: long non-coding RNA, 428 nt
Organism: Haliotis rubra (blacklip abalone)
Lineage: Eukaryota; Metazoa; Mollusca; Gastropoda; Lepetellida; Haliotidae
Exons: 2
Source: RefSeq, a predicted model, not a curated record